This is a long non-coding RNA of Strigops habroptila (Kakapo), 1913 nucleotides long. RefSeq lists it as uncharacterized. The record is from RefSeq and is a predicted model, not a curated record. The transcript is spliced from 2 exons. Lineage: Eukaryota; Metazoa; Chordata; Aves; Psittaciformes; Psittacidae.
UUUACCCCUUCCCUGGCCCCAGGAUUUAAGAUGUGGAGCUACUAAAGGGGAAGAUGAAAUAUUCCGUAAUAAUACAGCAGACCUGACAACAUUUUGGAAAGUUUUCAGAGAAAAUUCCCAGGUACAAGCAAGGGUCUCUCCAGAAGACUUCCAGCUGUUUUAACACAUACCUGGACUGGGGCUAAUAUAUCUGCCUCCCUGCAGAGCCUGUUUGUUGGUUUGUGUCUAGUUAGCUCUGAGCAGAAGCAGAGUAGAAGGAAAAAGGUAAGUGAGCCUGGCUUUUCCCACCCGUGGAGAGAUGCUCUGCCUUUCUUAUUAAGGUUGUAUCCCCUUCCUCUCCUUUGUUGCUGCAUACUAGUUCACCUCCCGUUGCGUAGAAAGGGCAGGCAUCAUGCUUUAUGAAUUCUUUGCUUUUUAAUUGUUCACUCCCAUCAUCUGGCUAAAACUUCCUCUCAUCAAGUCCCUGCUUGACUGGCUACAAGAUGUCUGCAUUCACCUCCAGGAAGCAAAGAAAGAAUAAGGCAUCUAAUUCACAUGGUUGAAAUUACUUAGGAAACAGAAUGGUCUGUGCUGAUGUGGACUACAGCCAAGAUACUAUAAAAGAUGUCCUUGUUAUUCAAGAGGCACCAAUAGAUGUUUACAUGAUAAAAAAAGGUAAAGACAAAAGUUUUCCACCCGAGAGACACCUACUCCUCUUGUGCGUGUAUUCCUUAUUACUGGCAUUUUGUUUGUUCAUCUAACAAAACAUUGGAGGCUGACUUACUAGAAGCUGAGCUACUUACUUUUUUGUUAAAUCAUUCAUUACUGCAUAAACAUUUUUUUUUUUCCAAUUUAAAAAUGCCCAUCCACCUCCUAUUCAUCUGUGCAGUCUCUCUUGGGGUAAAAUUUCUUUGGAGGAUCUGUUUUAUGACAAUGGUUUUCUAAAUGACAGUGACCAGCUGGGCAUUUAUGACUGUCUCAUGCUGAGCUACACAGAGAUGUUUUGUGACACAUUUCCCUGCCUGGGGAAUAUUCGGGAUAUGGGGGUGGUUUAAAAUGUUUGUUUGAGUGAGAUGAGAAAUGAUCUCACAAGUUGCCGGAAAGGAGCUUAGUGCAAUGGGAGGUAAGAGAGGACGUGUCCAGUAUAAUGAAGAAGGAAUUACUCAUUAGCUCAUAUAAAUAAUAAUAGCAGGUGUGGGUAAUUGCACUUUAGUAAAACUGUAUUUGAAAGCAGUUAAGUUGUAGUUUCUUAGCAACUGCUGCUGACAGCCACAUUUUAAGUGGCCAAGGCUUUCCAAUUAGGCAACACCCAUGCCAUGCUAUGCAACAGCAUUAAAUGGAAACACCAAAGCAGAAGUGUUUUUACUCUCUAAACAGAAACACAACAGAAGGCCAGAGCCACAGAGCAGGUGAUGAAGUAAAAAUAGCAGAAAUUAUAUCUACAUUUCUAGGUAAGCCUUUUCAGGAAGAACUGCUUAGGAAGAACUGUUACGGAGAAAGGCGUGAUCCAUAGCCUACUCAAUGCAAUGGGUAGACUUUAGGGAAUGCUGGCAGGGGCAUAAUUUGUAUUUAGGUAGCUUUGUAAUUUUGUUAACACAUUUUGUUAUGUCUUUUUUUGCAUCUGUCAUUUAAAAUCUCUGUGUGUGUAUAUAUAAGGGCGCAUAUAAGGGUGUGUAUAUAUAAGGGUGCACAUGAAGGAUUUUAUUUUACGUGAAUGAGUGUAUCUAUGUUUAGUGUGAAAUGUAAAUGUUGUAAUUAAUGUUCAUCACUUAAGACCACGCUGCUAACAAGAUGAUUUUGGAUGUUGGAUAAGAACGUUUCAUGGAAGAAGAGUGUGCUAAAGCCAACCAAGAAGAGAUGAAGAAGCAUUAAAGAGAAGUCUGAAGGGUUCAUCUUUUUGGCCAGUUGAAUAAAAUUUACAUUCUCCUAAUUCA